GAUCAUGGCUCAGAUUGAACGCUGGCGGCAGGCCUAACACAUGCAAGUCGAACGGUAACAGGAAGCAGCUUGCUGCUUCGCUGACGAGUGGCGGACGGGUGAGUAAUGUCUGGGAAACUGCCUGAUGGAGGGGGAUAACUACUGGAAACGGUAGCUAAUACCGCAUAACGUCGCAAGGCCAAAGAGGGGGACCUUCGGGCCUCUUGCCAUCGGAUGUGCCCACGAUGGGAUUAG
This 234-nucleotide ribosomal RNA is filed under the name uncultured bacterium. RNAcentral's name for it is "partial 16S ribosomal RNA". It matches the Rfam family "Bacterial small subunit ribosomal RNA", at positions 15 to 244 of the family's 1533-position model. The record is from RNAcentral.